Molecule: long non-coding RNA, 6083 nt
Filed under: Canis lupus familiaris (dog)
Lineage: Eukaryota; Metazoa; Chordata; Mammalia; Carnivora; Canidae
Description: lncRNA (ENSCAFG00040005085.1)
Source: RNAcentral
GAAGCAGUGGAUCAUCCCCGAUUCAAGCGUCAGGAAGAGCACAGCUCCAGGACCCCCCCGCCCCCCCAGGUUGAGACUGUCACUUUCCUAGAUCCCGAGUCCAAGUUAACGACAGGCUUUUGCAAAAUGGUUCAGAAAGCAAUCAACAGGCGAUGACUCUGUAAAAGAACGGAGGUUUCCUGACGUGCAGGGAAAAACAACAACAAAACGGCAGGUCUCCCCCGGGAACGGCAGCGCUCCUCCUUCCCAGCCCGGUGCCCUUUCUCUACAGACAAGAGCCCCAUUCUAUUGUAAGGCUGCGGCUUCCCCGAGAAAGCCUGGCUGCGGCCAGAUCUCCAGGUUGCUCUGGAGAAGGAAACACAUCCCGGCGCACACCCCACGAGGGCACCGGGCGCGGGGAGCCGCGGGGAGCCGCGGGGGGCCCGGCCGGGCGCGGGGCCCGCUCGGGGCGGGGCGGGGCGCGGGGCGCGGGGCGCGGGGUGCGGGGCGCGGGCGCCUCCCGAGGUGCCGCAAUCCGGCCGCGGCCGCAAGGGCAGGGCCUCCGGGAGCCCGCGGCCGCCGCAGUGCCAGUGCCAGUGCCAGUGCCAGUGCCAGUGCCAGUGCCGGCCCCGCGCCCCGCCGCCGCCCCGCCGCCAGGCCGCACGCCGCCGCCGCCCCAGCCCGCGUCCUCCGGGCCCAAGGCGCUGCGGCCGGCACGGGCAGCGGGGCGCGGGGCGCGGGGCGCGGGGAGCGCGGAGCGGCGAGCGCGCAACUUACUUUCCGCCCGCGGCGGGCGCCCGGGCCCGCACCCCCAGCCCGCAACGCCGCAGGCUACCCGGCGGCGGAGGCCGGCCCGCACCCGGCCCGCGGCCGCCGCGCCCCGCCGCGCCCCGCGCUCGCCCCUACCUCCGCCAGCAGGCGGGCGUCCGUCCGCAGCAGCCGCGGCGCCGACGACUCCCUCCCGGCCGCCGAACCCCCGCACCCAGCGCUAAUCAUAAUACCGAACGGGCGGCCGGCCGCGGGCGGGGGGGGCGAGGUGCGCCUGCGCGGGGCUCGCGUCACUGUGACGCAGAGCGGGGCGGGCCCGCGGGGGGGGCGGGGCCGGGAGCACCUGCGGGCGCGGGCGCGGGCGCGGGCGCGGGCGCGGGCGCGGGCGCGGGCGCGGGCGCGGGCGCGGGCGCGGGCGCGGGCGCGAGCGCGGGCUGCGGAGGGCGUCGUGGCGGCGUCGGGGCAGGCGGGCUCCGCGGCGGUGGGCUGGCGGCGGGAAGCGGCCGAGGCGCCCGAGGAGAGGGCCCGCGGAAGGAGGAAGCGCAAGGGACACGGGGCAGUGGCCGGGAAGAGUGGCGCGAGCUACCGGACCAUCUCCACAGCAUCAAUUUUGCAUGUCUGAAGAUGAUUGAAAAGUCUUUUUAUGGACCUGUAAGAAGCUUUAAUUAGAUAUACAGCACUCUACAAAACGACAAGAUGGAGCAUGCAGGUUUGUAUUACAGUUUCUGUGAUUCAAAUCUCAAAUAUAACAUAAUGCCACCAAUUUAAGGAAGAAGUUGUUUAUCAGAAGGCAACCAGGGCAAUGCUACAAAUUAGAUCAAGAUGUGAAAAGCAAGCAGAUUCUUGAAAGAAUUGCAAUUUUCAUCUUGGGACCCCCCAUCACCACACACACACACACACACAUACACACAAGCAUCAUAUUAUCUUCUCUAGAUAUUGUUCAUUUUCAUAAUUUGAAAAAAUUAAACUAUAUUUAAAACAAUAGGUAUUGAGUAACCAUGUACAGUUAAUUUUGAGUUAUAACAUGUAUUUAAGUAAGAUUUUGCUUUACAUAUUUAAUUAGUCAUUUUGUACAUUGAUAGUUGUGCAUUUCUAAAUCCUGGCUUCAUCCCAGUAGGACCAAAAAAUAAUGAUACUUCAUUGGAAAGGCCUACAGAGUUCCUCAAAGACUUUCUCAUACUACCCCAUUGGCAUCAGUUAGCAUGUUUCUCUUAUCUCAGAUAUCAGUGAAGGCCACCGUAUGUGUGUGUGUGUGUGUGUGUGUGUGUAAUGUAUUUUUGAUAGUUGCAAACAAAGAUUGAAAAUGCCAGCCCUUGACUCUGUUCAUUUGCAACAUGUGAGCUAAGAGACAUGACAGUCAUUGCCUGGCAUCAAAUCCUGCCCCAUCACUUAAUUCUCUAUGGCUUUGGGCAGGUUCCUUAACCUUCUGUUUGUUUUCUUCUCUGUAACAUGAGGAUGGUAGUGAUAAUGAUAUCUUUCUUAUAAAGAUGGUAUAAAGAAAUGGUUCUCAAAGUGUGCUCUCUUGACCAACAAUAUCAGCUUCUUCUGGGAACUGAAUCAAAAUUCAAAUUCUCAGUCUCCAUUCCAGAUGUACUAAAUUGAAAACUGUAGUUUCUGUUUCAAGAACACUUUUGGGUGAUUCUGAUGCAAGUUAGAGUUUGAGAACCACUGUUGAUGGGAUUAAAUGAGUUUAUUUUAAGUAUUAAAACAGUGCCUGGUACACAGUAAGUGGUAUAUUAAUGGAUAUGUUUAAAUGAAUACAAUAUGAUGUUGCCAAGAUUUGCAAAGUUUAAUUCAGGCCAAAAGAAGCAUGUGCAUGUUCUCCAACAAGUAAAUCCCAUCUUAAUCCCAUGUCCAAAACUUUAACAUGGCCUGCCAAACCAUUCCUGAUACGGCCCCAUCGCCCCUUCUUGCUCUUUCCAUUCUCCGUGUGUGCCACAUCUCCAACCUCCCCAGUUCUCAAAGGGAACUGCUUUUUCACACCUUUAAGACUUUGCCGAUUCUAUUCCCUCUGCCUGGAAAUGUCUCCCACCCCUUUUCUCCACUUCCCACACUUGCAAUCUCCUGAAUUCCUGCUUGUGCUUCAAAACCUAACUGCAGUGUCCAACCUCGUCUGUGGUACCCCAACCCAAACCCAGUCAGAGUCAAGGAUUCUCUGGACCCAUACCUCUCUGCACAUCCCACUUAGAGCAUUUAUCAUUAGGUGUUAUAAUUGUUUACUUCCCAUUCUCUGCCUUUGGAUCUUUAACUCCUGGAAAAUAAGGAUUUUAUUUCAUUUAAAAUUCUAUUCAUGCCACUGGGCUCUGACGUUUUAAGAGAGCAGCCCAAGGGUUUACACCACAGACUUGGGGUAUUUUUCCCCCCACAAAGGUCUUUUAAGAAUUUUAAUUAGUUGUGAACAUUUUAAAAUUGGGAGAUUUAAUUUUUAUGUUUAACCUUUUAAUGAGGUCUAAUAUGUAUAUUGUAAGGUUCACCCAGAAUACAUGAUAAUUCAGUGAUUUUUAGUAAGCUUAUAAAGUCGUGCAAUCAUCCCCUUAAUCCACUUUUAGAGUAUUUCCAUCUCUCCCUAAAAGUCUUCUCAUGUGCAUAUACAAUCACUCUCCAAUUUCAAGUCCUCCAUGACCAAUAAUUUGUUUUCCAUCUCUGUAGGUUUGCCUUUCUAGAAAUGUUAUAUAAAUAGAAUCAUACAAUAUGUAGUCUUUGGUGUCUGGCUUCUUUCAUUUAGCAUAAGAUUUAUCCAUGCUGUAGUUCAUGUAGUUGUAUCUGUUCAUUCCUUUGUAUUGCUGAAUAGUAUUCCAUUAUAUACAUAAACUACAUUUUAUUUAUUUCCAGAUGUUUGCUAUUGUGGAUAAUGCUGCUAUGAAUAAUUAUAUAAACUCUAAAUGGCAAUGUUUUCAUUUUGGGGGGUAUAUUGCUGGGUAGAAUUAUUGGGUCAUGUCAUGACUCUUUAACAUUUUAAGGAACUGAAAAAUUACUUUCUAAAGCGACUUACUAUUUUAUAUUCCCAUCAUCAAUAUAUGAGGGCUCUAGUUUCACCAUACCCUUAGCAACACUUGGCAUUAUUUGACUUUUAGGUUAUCAAUAUUCUAAUAAAAGUAUAGAGGUAUUUCACUGUGAUUUUAAUUUGCAUUUCUCUGAUCAACAGUGUUGAUCAUCUUUUCAUGUGCUAAAUUUUUAGUUUUCAUAUAUCUUCUUUGGUGAAAGAUCUAUUCAAAUCUUUUGCCCAUUUUUAAUUGGGUUAUUUGUCUUAAUGAGUUUUAAGACUUUUUUAUAUAUUUCAGAUACAAGUCCUUAAUUAGAUAUAUGACUUGCAAAUAUUUUCUCCCAGGCUGUGGUUUGUCUUCUCAUAUUUUUAAUGAUAUCUUUAGAUGUGCCAAAGUUUUAGAUUUUGAUGAAUCCCAAUUUAUCAAAUUUUUCUUUUAUAAAUCAUAUUUUGGAUGUCAUAUCUAAGAAAUUUUUGCCUAAGCCAAAGUCAAAAGAUUUUUUUGAGUUUUUUUUCAAGUUUAUAGUUUUCAAUUUAACAUUUUAGUCUAUAAUACAAUUUGAGUUAAUUGUUAUAUGUGAUAUAAAGUGUCUACAUGUUUUAUCAAUUAAUUCAUUUUUUGCAUAUGGAUAGUCAAUUACCCCUGAACCAUUUGUCAAAGAGUAUCAUUUCCCAAUUGAAUUGCCUUGUCACCGUCACUGAAAAUCUAUUUACCAUAAAUGUAAGGGUUUUCUGGACUUCCUAUUCAUUUCUAUUGAUUCUACAUAUCUAUCCUUAAACCACUGUGACAUAAUCUUGACUACUGUUGUUUUAUAGUAAGUUUUGAAAAUGGGCAGAAUAAGUCCUCCAACUAUGUUGUUAUUUUUCAAAAUUGUUUUGCUAUUCUAGGUAUGUUGCAAUGCCAUGUAAACUCUAGGAUCAGCUUGUCAAUUUCUACCAAAACAGUGUUUUUGAAGAAUGGUAUUUUUUUUUUUUUUGGAGUUGCAUGUAUAGGCCAAUUUGGGGAGAAUUGCCACCUUAACAAUAAAGAGUCUUCACAGUUCAUGAACAUGAUAUAGCUCCCCAUUUAUUUAGAUCUUUUAAAAUUUCUGUCAGCAAUGUUUUGUAGUUUUUAGUUGUACACAUCUUUUGUUACCCUUAUUUCUAAGUACUUUUCUUUUUAGUGCUAUUGUGAAUUGCAUUAUUUUCUUUAUUUCUAGGUUGUUCAUUAUCAGAAUAUAAAAAUACUGAUUUUUAUAUCCUUUGACAUUCUCAUUUUUUAGUUCUUCUUGGUGUUUUCAGAUUAAAUAGUAUUUAAUCAUAUUAUCUGCAAAAUCAUAUUUUCUGCAAAUGAAGACAUUUUGUUUCUUCUUUUUCCAGUCUGAAUGCCUUUAAUUUCUUUUUCUUGUCUUCUUGACAGCCUAUAACUUAUAGUAUGAUAUAGAAUAGAAGUGGUUAGUUCUUUGGGGUGUCUGCCUAGCUCCAUCACUGGAGCAUGCAACUUUGAUCUCAGGUUUGUAAGUUUCAAUCCCAUAUUGUAUAGAAAUUACAUAAAAAUAUUUUUUUUUAAAGUGGUAAGGAUCCCUGGGUGGCUCAGCAGUUUAGCUCCUGCCUUUAGCCAGGGCAUGAACCUGGAGUCCUGGGAUUGAGUCCCACAUCAGGCUCCCUGCAUGGAGCCUUAUUCUCCCUCUGCCUGUGUCUCUGCCUCUCUCUCUCUCUCUCUCUCUCUCUCUCCAUCUCUCAUGAAUAAAUAAAAUCCAACACUCUUUAAAAAAAUAAAAAAGUGGUAAAAGUAGAUAUUCUUCCUUUGUUCUCAAAAAACGCAUUUAGUCUUCCACUAUUAAGUAAGAUAUUUGCUAUAGGUUUUUCUUAGGUGCUUUUUAUAUAUUAGAAUAAAUUCCCUGUUAUUCAGAGUUUGUUGAGAGUUUCAUCAUGAAUGAGUGUUGGAUUUUGUCAAAUGCUUUUUCUGCAUGUAUUGACAUGAUCAUGUAGGUUUUGUCUAUUACAUUAAUAUGACACAUUGUAUUAAUUAAUUCUCUUUUUUUUAAAGAUUAUUUACUUAUUCAUAGAGACACAGAGAGAGAAUGAGAGGCAGAGACACAGGCAGAGGGAGAAGCAGGCUCCAUGCAGAGAGCCCGACGCGGGACUUGAUCCAAGGUUUCCAGGAUCAUGCCCUGAGCUGCAGGCGGUGCUAAACUGCUGUGCCACUGGGGCUGCCCGCAUUAAUUAAUUUUCAUAUGCCAAAUCAACCUUGCAUCCCCAAAAUAAAUUCCACUUUGGUCAUUGUAACAUGCUGCUGGAUUUGAUUUCCUUAUUUAUAUUCAUGUGGCUCCAAUAAAAAAUUUUAAAAAAUAUUCAUGUGGCAUAGUAUGAG